GUUCCCUACGGGGCGCAGCAGUCGGGAAUAUUGCGCAAUGGAGGAAACUCUGACGCAGUGACGCCGCGUGCAGGAAGAAGGUUUUCGGAUUGUAAACUGCUUUAGACAGGGAAGAAACAAGACAGUACCUGUAAAAUAAGCUCCGGCUAACUACGUGCCAGCAGCCGCGGUAAUACGUAGGGAGCAAGCGUUAUCCGGAUUUAUUGGGCGUAAAGCGAGCGCAGGCGGUUGCUUAGGUCUGUUGUGAAAGCCUUCGGCUUAACCGACGAAGUGCAUCGGCAACCGGGCGACUU
Molecule: ribosomal RNA, 293 nt
Filed under: uncultured bacterium
Lineage: Bacteria
Description: partial 16S ribosomal RNA
Rfam family: Bacterial small subunit ribosomal RNA
Source: RNAcentral